RNAcentral lists this ribosomal RNA (440 nucleotides) under uncultured bacterium. Its description in RNAcentral is "partial 16S ribosomal RNA". It matches the Rfam family "Bacterial small subunit ribosomal RNA", at positions 338 to 795 of the family's 1533-position model. The record is from RNAcentral.
CCUACGGGAGGCUGCAGUGGGGAAUAUUGCACAAUGGUGGAAACCCUGAUGCAACGACGCAGCGUGCAUGAUGAAGUCUUUCGGUGUUUAAAGCUCUUUCAGCGGGGAAGAAAAUUACGUUACCUGACUAAUAUGCCCCGUCUAACUACGUGCCAGCAGCCGCGGUAAUACGUAGGGGGCAAGCGUUAUCCGGAUUUACUGGGUGUAAAGGGAGCGUAGUCGGCAAGACAGGUCUGAAGUGAAAUGCCGUGGCUCAACCAUGGGACUGCGUUUCAAACUGGCUGGCUGGAGUGCGGGGGAGGUAUGCGGAAUUCGUAGUGUAGCGGUGAAAUGCGUAGAUAUUAGGAGGAACACCAGUGGCGAAGGCGGCUUACUGGAGUGUAACUGACGUUGAGGCUCGAAAGCGCGGGGAGCAAACAGGAUUAGAUACCCGUGUAGUC